AUGGAGCUCACCGCUCACACUCUCCUCCUCCCUCUGGUACUUGCGGCGCUCCUCCACACCACCACCGCCACUGUUGACGAUGCCACACGAGGCCUCAACGGCGGCCUUAGCCUGCGCAUGGUUCCCAGCCCUGGCUGGAACAGUACCAUCCAUGUCGACGACGACGGCUUCCUUCACCUGAAGGAGCCAGUUGGGCACGACACCACCGCGCUUCGACCGCAUGUACGCUUUCUCCCAGGGAAGUACAACGUUGUCACCACUGUUGGGACGGGCCAUGGCCGCCGCACGUACACCCUCGCGAUGGAGAUGACCAGCAGCCUGACGUGGAUGCAGUGCGCGCCGAUCCAACACCCGUUUCAGCAAGUGCCGCCGCCCUUCCACCCGCGGACAUCACCGUCAUUCCGCCACCUCGCACCCACAAACCGCCUUUGCUCGCCCCCGGGGCACAACGUGUGCAGGUUCCACGUCACCCCCAUCCACACCGGUGGCGUACAUGCGAGCGGCGUGCUCGGUGAUGAGACCCUAUCCUUCACGGGAUCUACGCCGGCGGUCUUUCCCACCGUCAUCAUUGGCUGCGCGCACAGCAGCACGGGUUUCGACAGCCACAGAGUGCUCGCCGGUGUCCUCGGCCUGGGUAAGACGUACCCGUCGCUCGUCCCGGUGUUACUCCAACGUCACGGCUUGCACCGCUUCUCCUACUGCCUCUUCGUGCCCAGGUCGGCGAACCGGCACGGCUUCCUCCGGUUCGGCAACGACAUCCCGGUCGACACGAGGCGCAUGAAGAGCACCAGGAUCCUCUACCCCGAGGAUAGCUCCUACUUUGUCAACCUCAACGGCAUCAGCAUUGCAGAGACACGGCUGGGCGGCAACCUGGCGGAGGUGUUCAGGCGCCGACAGCUCGCCGAUGGCAAGUGGCACAGCGGGACCGUGAUCGACGUCGGGACGUCUCGGAGUGUGAUGAUCGAAGCUGCAUACAGUGUCCUGGAGCAGACCCUGGCGGAGCACGGCAGGAGGCUUUUGCCGGUGCGCCGCACCAGCUCCGGCCUCUGCUUCCGCGCGACACACUCCCACUUCUCGCAGUUGCCGACGGUGACGCUGCACUUUGAGCAGGACCUCGUGCUCACCCCAAAUAAGUUGUUUGUAGUGCGGGAGCAAGACAUUUGCCUCGCCGUGUCACCGAGCCAGGACAUCACCAUCAUCGGGGCAAUGCAGCAAGUGGGCACGCGCUUCGUGUACGACCUCGCCGCCAGCAGGGUCUACUUCGCCCCCGAGAACUGCAAUGACGACACCGGCGAGCAUGAUUGA
Molecule: ribosomal RNA, 1305 nt
Filed under: Triticum aestivum (bread wheat)
Lineage: Eukaryota; Viridiplantae; Streptophyta; Magnoliopsida; Poales; Poaceae
Description: partial small subunit ribosomal RNA
Source: RNAcentral